UCAUCGGUAGUAUAGUGGUCAGUAUCCCCGCCUGUCACGCGGGAGACCGAGGUUCGAUUCCCCGCAGAGGAG
RNAcentral lists this transfer RNA (72 nucleotides) under Leptinotarsa decemlineata (Colorado potato beetle). RNAcentral describes it as "tRNA-Asp". It matches the Rfam family "tRNA". Rfam says of the family: Transfer RNA (tRNA) molecules are approximately 80 nucleotides in length. The record is from RNAcentral. Lineage: Eukaryota; Metazoa; Arthropoda; Insecta; Coleoptera; Chrysomelidae.